RNAcentral lists this long non-coding RNA (725 nucleotides) under Struthio camelus australis. RNAcentral describes it as "lncRNA (ENSSCUG00000007233.1)". The record is from RNAcentral. Lineage: Eukaryota; Metazoa; Chordata; Aves; Struthioniformes; Struthionidae.
CUCGUGGUAGGGGACCGAAGGCCGCUGGCUCUGGGCUGCCUUCGCGGCUCUCUGACUCGUACCGGUGUCCCUCUGCUGCUCAGGCCUCCCUUUCGGCGCGGUACGGUCUCAUGGUUUGGGAUGGUCUCCUCAGACGGGGCGGUUGAACAGAAAAGAACAUUAACACUUUUGGAAUGCUGCUGCUCAUGUCGUACAGGAAAUCAGCUUAUAUUCAAGUAGUGCUGGCACUUUGAUUGCUGUUUGUUCCUGGUUUACCUGCAGUGGGGAGAUAUUAGGAGGAAUAGGAAAGCGGUUCUGUAGGUAAGAAACAAGGAAAAGUUUUGUUGCUCAGAUAAGAGCAGCAAGUAUAAUUUCUUUUUCAUUUUUUUACAAUGUGUUUGUUCUCUGCUAAGAGUGAACCUCACACUUUUGGGUUUUAGCAGCUAUUUUGUUUAUUGACUUUGUCUGUCGGUAAUGUAGUUUUUGCAUUAAUAUUUUCAUGAGCAUGCUCUUGACGUUUUUAUUAAACGAUAAUGCAGUAAGACAGUGUUUAUAGAUCUCUGAACUUUAUUUUGUAUUUUUAGUUUAUGAAAAGUGGUUAAAUAUUUCCAAAAGAGUAUCUUAAUAUACAAAUAUACAUACGUUUGUGAAUUGUUAGUAAAAUCAGUACAUCACGACAACUUUUCUAAGGCCUUCAAAAUUUUGAUCUGCCUAAUAGUCACAGGAAUAACAUUAUUUUACAGGAA